This 461-nucleotide ribosomal RNA is filed under the name uncultured Alkaliflexus sp. Its description in RNAcentral is "bacterial SSU rRNA". It matches the Rfam family "Bacterial small subunit ribosomal RNA", at positions 920 to 1382 of the family's 1533-position model. The record is from RNAcentral. Lineage: Bacteria; Pseudomonadati; Bacteroidota; Bacteroidia; Marinilabiliales; Marinilabiliaceae.
CCCGCACAAGCGGAGGAACAUGUAGUUUAAUUCGAUGAUACGCGAGGAACCUUACCUGGGUUUAAAUGGGAAGUGACAGACUUGGAAACAGGUUUUUUCUUCGGACACUUUUCAAGGGUGCUGCAUGGUUGUCGUCAGCUCGUGCCGUGAGGUGUCGGGUUAAGUCCCAUAACGAGCGCAACCCCUAUCGGUAGUUACCAGCACAUAAUGGUGGGGACUCUGCCGAGACUGCCGGUGUAAACCGUGAGGAAGGUGGGGAUGACGUCAAAUCAGCACGGCCCUUACAUCCAGGGCUACACACGUGUUACAAUGGCCGGUACAAAGGGCAGCUACCCGCGAGGGGAUGCGAAUCUCAAAAACCGGUCUCAGUUCGGAUUGGAGUCUGCAACCCGACUCCAUGAAGCUGGAUUCGCUAGUAAUCGCGCAUCAGCCACGGCGCGGUGAAUACGUUCCCGGGCCUU